This 462-nucleotide ribosomal RNA is filed under the name uncultured bacterium. RNAcentral's name for it is "partial 16S ribosomal RNA". It matches the Rfam family "Bacterial small subunit ribosomal RNA", at positions 28 to 507 of the family's 1533-position model. The record is from RNAcentral.
GAUGAACGCUGACAGAAUGCUUAACACAUGCAAGUCUUUGGCGAAGCUGUGCUUGCACAGCCUAGCCAAGGCGGACGGGUGAGUAACGCGUAAGGAACUUGCCCUGCAGUCAGGGAUAACAGACGGAAACGACUGAUAAGACCUGGUAAAGUCAGGCGGACUCAUGUCCAGCCUGAUGAAAAGAGAUGCUGCAGGAGAGCCUUGCGUCCUAUUAGCUUGUUGGUGGGGUAACGGCCCACCAAGGCGAUGAUAGGUAGCCGGCCUGAGAGGGUGGACGGCCACAAGGGGACUGAGAUACGGCCCUUACUCCUACGGGAGGCAGCAGUGGGGAAUAUUGGACAAUGGGGGCAACCCUGAUCAAGCAAUUCUGUGUGCACGAUGAAGGUUUUCGGAUUGUAAAGUGCUUUCAGCAGGGAAGAAAAAAUGACGGUACCUGCAGAAGAAGCGACGGCUAAAUACGUG